RNAcentral lists this ribosomal RNA (253 nucleotides) under uncultured bacterium. Its description in RNAcentral is "partial 16S ribosomal RNA". It matches the Rfam family "Bacterial small subunit ribosomal RNA", at positions 524 to 776 of the family's 1533-position model. The record is from RNAcentral.
GACGAACCGUGCGAACGUUGUUCGGAAUCACUGGGCUUAAAGGGCGCGUAGGCGGGUGUGCAAGUCUGUGGUGAAAGCCUCCAGCUUAACUGGAGAAGUGCCGUGGAUACUGCUCAUCUUGAGGAGGGUAGGGGCAUCUGGAACGGUCGGUGGAGCGGUGAAAUGCGUUGAUAUCGACCGGAACUCCGGUGGCGAAGGCGAGGUGCUGGACCCUUUCUGACGCUGAGGCGCGAAAGCCAGGGGAGCAAACGGG